UCUUGGUUAGUAUAGUGGUCAGUAUACCAGCUUGUCAUUUCUAUUCGUUGAAUAAUUGAUGACAUUUCGCUGGGGACCCGGGUUCAAUUCCCGGACCGAGAG
Pseudomassariella vexata is the source of this 102-nucleotide transfer RNA. It matches the Rfam family "tRNA". From Rfam's summary of the family: Transfer RNA (tRNA) molecules are approximately 80 nucleotides in length. Their secondary structure includes four short double-helical elements and three loops (D, anti-codon, and T loops). The record is from Rfam. NCBI's taxonomy places the organism in Eukaryota, Fungi, Ascomycota, Sordariomycetes, Amphisphaeriales, Pseudomassariaceae.